UUCUGGCUCAGGAUGAACGCUAGCUACAGGCCUAACACAUGCAAGUCGAGGGGCAGCAGAUCGAAAGCUUGCUUUGAUGCUGGCGACCGGCGAAUGGGUGAGUCACGCGUGUCCAACCUGCCCCCCGCCCGGGGAUAGCCCUUGGAAAUGAGGAUUAAGACCCGAUAGGUGGCGCUUCCGCAUGGCGGCGCCAUGAAACUGGCGAGGGAUGGGGACGCGUCGGAUUAGCUUGACGGCGGGGCAACGGCCCACCGUGGCGACGAUCCGCAGGGGUUCUGAGAGGAAGGUCCCCCACACUGGCACUGAGACACGGGCCAGACUCCUACGGGAGGCAGCAGUGAGGAAUAUUGGUCAAUGGCCGAGAGGCUGAACCAGCCAAGUAGCGUGCCAGGAUGACGGCCCUACGGGUUGUAAACUGCUUUUGCGGGAGGAUAAAGUGCGCCACGCGUGGCGCUUUGCAGGUAUCCCGUGAAUAAGGACCGGCUAAUUCCGUGCCAGCAGCCGC
Molecule: ribosomal RNA, 505 nt
Filed under: uncultured bacterium
Lineage: Bacteria
Description: bacterial SSU rRNA
Rfam family: Bacterial small subunit ribosomal RNA
Source: RNAcentral